AAUAGAUACCCGGGUGGUCCACGCCGUAAACGAUGAGUGCUAAGUGUUAGGGGGUUUCCGCCCCUUAGUGCUGCAGCUAACGCAUUAAGCACUCCGCCUGGGGAGUACGGUCGCAAGACUGAAACUCAAAGGAAUUGACGGGGGCCCGCACAAGCGGUGGAGCAUGUGGUUUAAUUCGAAGCAACGCGAAGAACCUUACCAGGUCUUGACAUCCCAUUGACCACUAUGGAGACAUAGUUUUCCCUUCGGGGACAACGGUGACAGGUGGUGCAUGGUUGUCGUCAGCUCGUGUCGUGAGAUGUUGGGUUAAGUCCCGCAACGAGCGCAACCCUUGUUCUUAGUUGCCAUCAUUUAGUUGGGCACUCUAAGGAGACUGCCGGUGACAAACCGGAGGAAGGUGGGGAUGACGUCAAAUCAUCAUGCCCCUUAUGACCUGGGCUACACACGUGCUACAAUGGACGGUACAAACGAUUGCCAACCCGCGAGGGGGAGCUAAUCCGAUAAAACCGUUCUCAGUUCGGAUUGUAGGCUGCAACUCGCCUACAUGAACG
This 551-nucleotide ribosomal RNA is filed under the name uncultured bacterium. RNAcentral describes it as "bacterial SSU rRNA". It matches the Rfam family "Bacterial small subunit ribosomal RNA", at positions 777 to 1325 of the family's 1533-position model. The record is from RNAcentral.